Long non-coding RNA from Protopterus annectens (West African lungfish), 1229 nucleotides. RefSeq lists it as uncharacterized. The record is from RefSeq and is a predicted model, not a curated record. Lineage: Eukaryota; Metazoa; Chordata; Ceratodontiformes; Protopteridae. The transcript is spliced from 3 exons.
UUCAAAGUUAAGGAGAAGGGAAUUAUUCUGUUUCACCGAGUGCUGAUCUUUGCUGCCACUGCCAGAGCAGUAAGAAUGGAGCCAUUGGACAAGGGGGAGGGAGCAGCCCCCACACUUUUUGUUUGUCUAGUCCUGUGGGCGGGAACCUUUUGUCUUGUUUAGUUAGUUCCCUGCACUUUUUUUUAGUCCUCGUGGGCACUUUUUGUCUUGUCCCCAGCUCUUUCACUUUUUAUCUUGUCUAGUCCCCUGCACUUUUUGUGCAGUCCUCGCUUUUGUCUAGUCCCUGUGGGCAAAGAAAAAAAGGACCGGAAGCCAUGCAUGCGUAUUUAUGCUAAACACAACUUAGGAGCAAAAUUCCAUUGCCUGCUUACCUGAAGAAUGUUUCAUGCAGGCAAAGGCAAGAUGUUUUGAAUAUAUGCUGCUGCUUCAGGGAUUAUGCUUCUGGUCAGACACAGUUUUCAGCACCUCUUCAUCAACCAAUGGGAGAAGGGUUCACCUCGCUCCAGUGGGGAUAUGCCUGUUUGAGGUCUUCAUAAUUUUCAAGUGAUGUUCCUGCUAAUUACCACGUCAAUAGCAACACCUUAAGUACGCGCUCAGUGAUGAGAAACCUGGGCAGACAGGUUGACAGCAAUCUUACCUUUGAUCACCAUGUCUCUACAGGGAGUUUGGGCCCUUACCAUCUACACUCAUGGGUCACCAACACAACUGCUAUUGAGUGACAACCUGAGGAGACUGCAAGGAGGAGGUCAAGAUAGUGUACAGAAGUCAGAAACAGAAAAAAAAUGAAUGCUAAAAGCACUACAGUCCUCACAAAGUAUUGUGUUUAUUUAUUUGGUAAAGGUUUGAUUACUUUUAUAUAAAUGUAAAUGUGCCUGUGUCACAAAUGAUAAUUCAGUAAAGGUGUUUAAAAAAAGACCUGCAAGACAAUUCGUAAAGACGGAUUAGAAGAUGAAGCUACUUUGCACUAUCUGGUCAACCUAAUGUUGCAGUUUCAUGCAAAAACUGCAUUUCUGUGUCAUCUCCUGUUGCAGUUUUCAGUCCCUGCUGUUUCUCAGCUGCUAAAUGUGCAUCAUGACAUAAUGAACUUUGAGACCCUCUUCUAACAAGCCUUACUUCCACAUAUUUAAAUAAUUGUAUUUUAACAUCAUACUUGUGAAAAUACCACUCAACCUGGAAACAUCAAAAAUCUGGACAAAGACCCAUGAAAAAUAGGUACAAAUCAGUAUGCU